CCUACGGGAGGCAGCAGGGGGGAAUAUUGGACAAUGGGCGAAAGCCUGAUCCAGCCAUGCCGCGUGUGUGAAGAAGGUCUUCGGAUUGUAAAGCACUUUAAGUUGGGAGGAAGGGCAGUAAGUUAAUACCUUGCUGUUUUGACAUUACCAACAGAAUAAGCACCGGCUAACUUCGUGCCAGCAGCCGCGGUAAUA
Molecule: ribosomal RNA, 195 nt
Filed under: uncultured bacterium
Lineage: Bacteria
Description: partial 16S ribosomal RNA
Rfam family: Bacterial small subunit ribosomal RNA
Source: RNAcentral